RNAcentral lists this long non-coding RNA (497 nucleotides) under Mus spretus (western wild mouse). Its description in RNAcentral is "lncRNA (ENSMSPG00010030940.1)". The record is from RNAcentral. Lineage: Eukaryota; Metazoa; Chordata; Mammalia; Rodentia; Muridae.
GCGGCCGCUACGUCAGCGCCCCGGGUGGCGCCGCCUCCGCCCGCCGGCCUGGGCCCCGCUCCCGCCGCCGGGAAGGCGGGCCGCGGUAGAAGCUGGGGGCUGCCUUGCUUCCUCGUACGAUCCGGUGAACUUUCCCGAUGCUCCGGCAAAAGUCAGGGGACCCGAGAGUGAACUGUUUGUUGUAGGACACAGCUUACCUGGGAUUGGUGCCGCCCAGGACCCCUUAUUAUAACCCAUAGACCCACAGACCUUAGGAGCGGAGGACAGUCCAGUCUGUACAUCAGCUGUGUUCCUGGUGCCUUGGAGGCCAGAAGAGAGUGUCAGAUCUUCUUAGGCUGGGGAUGCAGACUCUUGUGAGCUGCCAUGUGAGUGCGGGACUUGAACAGCAGCCAAAUACUUUUAACCCCUGAGCCAUCACUUCAGCAUCACCCCCACACCUUCUUUAAAACAGUCUCUUGUAACCAUAACUGAGAACUAUCUUGAAGCCUGAAUACUCC